RNAcentral lists this long non-coding RNA (354 nucleotides) under Oryza sativa Indica Group (long-grained rice). RNAcentral's name for it is "lncRNA OsLaMu_12g0006010". Lineage: Eukaryota; Viridiplantae; Streptophyta; Magnoliopsida; Poales; Poaceae. RNAcentral also lists the same sequence under 1 other name. The record is from RNAcentral.
CCGCGCUUCCGCCUCAGCCCGCGCCAGCCGGCCGCCACCUACGCCUCCACCUUCGCUGGCGCCUCCCCCCGCCUCACGGCCGCCAACGCCACCGACGCCUCCCUCACCUCCGCCACUGACCGCGCUAGCCGCCGGAUCCGGCCUCCACGAGGCCGGGGAUGCGCUGAUCUGAACGCCAGGUACCGCCUCCUUCAUCCCCACCCACCGGCCACCUCGCAACAGAGGAGUGCCUCUUUGAGAUCCUCCGCCGUCUCCCCGGCCGCUGCGAGCGCGGCGCCUCCACCUGCGUCUCCCGUCGCUGGUCCAUCAUGGAGGACGACGAACUGUCGGCCAGUGUGCCCCUUUUGUGAAUGA